Humulus lupulus (European hop) is the source of this 921-nucleotide long non-coding RNA. RefSeq lists it as uncharacterized. NCBI's taxonomy places the organism in Eukaryota, Viridiplantae, Streptophyta, Magnoliopsida, Rosales, Cannabaceae. The record is from RefSeq and is a predicted model, not a curated record. The transcript is spliced from 4 exons.
GUGCCACGUGUCCCACGUCUCCCAGUGGGAGACGUUGGAUGUCCCCCUGGCCAUUUAAUGAAUUUUGGGUCUUCUUCUUCCUCAUAACACCAAACAGAGAGAGCACACCAAACAGAGAGCACGAAAGGGGUUGCGAUUUUAGGGUUUUCAAGGUUGUGAUUUUGGUGGUGAGAUUUUAGAGAGUACUUUGCAUCAAAACUUCUAUAUCUAUCAAUCACACAUUUGAGAUGGUUAGGUCACUAUUAUAGGGGAAAUGCUGCCCGAUUUUAUCUAGGAUAAUAAACAAUUAAUUUUAUAUAUGCAUUCUAUAAGGAAGAAACUUAUUGUAUGUUGUUUGAAUUGUUUGUUUUGUUAUUCACAUGCAGAUGGUUAGGUCACUAUUAUAGGGGAAAUGCUGCCCGAUAUUAUUUAGGAUAAUAAACGAUUAGUUGAGAACGGGCAUUACUUGAUUGAACAUGCAAGUCCCAGGCAUUACUUGAGAACGCUAACAAGCACAUCAUAUACAGAGGCACAAAUUGAUGAGUUGCGACAAGAAUGGGCGACAUAUAUGUUGCCGAUAAUCCAAAGUUACCGACCUCGUUGAUAGGUUUUUUUUUAAUUUUUUAACUCUUUCUUCAUACACAAUGCAAUAUUUGUUCAUUUUGAAUAUUUCUAACAAAUAUUGUAUUUCUUGUAUAUAUCUAACAAAUAUAUUUUUUUAUUUCAAUUUAAAUUAAUAUUAUUUCAAUUUAAUUAAUUAUUAAAUUAAUUUCAAUUUAGAUUAAAAUAAUUUCAAUUUAAAUUAAAAUAAUUUCAAUUUAAAUUAAUAUUAUUUCAAUUUAAAUUAAUAUUAUUUCAAUUUAAUUAAUUAUUAAAUCAAAUUAAAAUAAUAUUAAUUAUAAAUUUAUUUAAUUUAUUUUUUUUAAAUGUGGGAGACUUUCA